RNAcentral lists this transfer RNA (67 nucleotides) under Gomphidia confluens. RNAcentral's name for it is "tRNA-Leu". Lineage: Eukaryota; Metazoa; Arthropoda; Insecta; Odonata; Gomphidae. The record is from RNAcentral.
AUUAUUACUGUGCGAUUCAGUUUAAUUUGAUUAAUUUUUAUCUUACUUAUUUAUUUUUGUUAUAACU